ACAAUUAAAUUUUUUUUCCUUGCAUGUCAUGUGCGGGGCUGAAAACAAAUCACCCUGAAAACAACCAGAAAAAGGGUAAGCAAAAUAGAACUAGCAUCUAGAGCAGGGGUGGCUAACCCUGGUCCUGGAGAGCCUCAGUGCUGCAGAGUUUAGCUCCAACCCUGAUAAAAACUCUCCUGCCUAUAGCUUUCUAGCAACCUUUCAAACCUUGAUUAGCUUGUUCAGCUGUGUUUUAUUAGGGUUGGAGCUGAACUCUGCAGGACUGUGGCUCUCCAGGACCAGGUUUAGCCACCCCUGAUCUAGAGGGACUAAAAGAAAUGAUGAUGAGGAUUUAGCAGAAAUCCAAGACAUACUUCUUGAAGCCCUCAAAGACUGCAGGUCAGAGGAGCACAUCUCCACUGACACAGACCUGGUUUCCUUAACAUAACCAGGUCAGCCCCUACUCCUCCACCUAACAUCUCAGUGGAGAACAACCAGGGAAAGGGGGGUUAGCUCAUAACUGAACAGGGUCAUCAGAGUUAGCAGACACUUAUCCCCUGUACUUUGUCAGGCUUCACCUUUAGCCAAAGAAGGAUUCAUCAGUUGUCAAACUUCCGUUAACAUUUUACCAACCAGUCUCAAUUGUCCGGACAUUUUUAUUUUUUUUUUAUUUUGCAUGCCCAUGACAAUCCCUGUAGAGGUCAAGGCCCAUGUAAGACCCCGGUUAGCUUGUAUUUUAAGCCAUUGCAGAUCACAGUCAGUAUUGUCAAAUUUGUUUUGUCCGCCUUACAAUCUUGCUUUUAGGACACCCUUCUAAAAAGAAGGAUAUUGAUUGGACCUGCGGAACAGUCCUCUACAGACAGCUGCAGAGUUUAGGUAGAAAACUCUAAUUUACAAACCCCACUGUUGAUUAACAUACAGCCUUUGAACUACACCAUCCAAAAGUGUAGUAAUGGAUGUCAUACAAAAUGACUAGCCCCAUUGUUUAGCCUGUAUAGCAAUGCAAAUUUUACUUUAAGUCUAAGUGAGCUUUGCUCUUGAUAAUAUGGCAGUCAGUAGACAAUCUUGUCACUUUUGGUACCAAGUGAGCUGGUUUGGGACUCCUUUAGUUGGGAAAAGUAAGGAACCAUGCAAAUGAUACAGGUGCACUUAGCUUACAGCUUGGACAGUGCAACACCAAAUGAUGUCAAUCCAGACGCCUAAGAAUUUGGUUUCCUGUUAAAUCUGCUUUUGUUUCUGCUAAACAUUUUUCAAUGUUUACUCUUAACACUCUUUACAGAAUCUAGCUUUUAGGCUAUCUUUAGGACAAUUUAAUUUCCUUCCCCACAUAGGUUCCAUCUCCAGAUCUAAUUUCUAAUCUGCUCACAAAUUAUUCUAAUAGCCAUUGAACAUAGACCUACAUAAAAUAUGUUCAACCAUAUUUUAUUUCCAUGCCAAUGGUCAAAAGGUGGAGGUGAGGUGUGUGUUUUCUUCCUGCAUAUGGAAAGAGGAAAUAAAACAUAGUUCGUUAAGAGCAUGACUUAAAACCGCACUUCCGUAUUCUUCAAAAAGCUUACACUGAAUGUCCUACACCUUCCCUAUUCAACUUACAGGACGGCGCCAGUUCCGUUUUUUCCGUAAGUAGCAUAGAGAAGGCGUAGGACAUACAGCUUUUUUUUUUACAGCACAAAGCUUUUUGAAGAAUACGGAAGUGCGGUUUUGGUGGAACCACUUGAAGGCGACCAUUUGUUUAUGUAAAGCGCAUACAUUUAAAAAAAAAUGUAGAAAAUGACCGAUCGUUUCUCUAGAUAAGACCCUUAUUCCUCGUCUGGUAUCGUUUAAAGCCCUUUGAAGCAAUUUUUACCUUCAACCAUUUGGAGACCAUUGAAGUUCACUAUAUGGAGAAAAAUCCUGGAAUGUUUUCCUCAAAAACCUUCAUUUCUUUUCGACUGAAGAAAGAAGGACAUGGACAUCUUAGAUGACAUGGGGGUGAGUAAAUUAUCAUGAAAUUUUAAUUUAAAAGUGGACUAAUCCUUUAAUGGGCUUAUUCAAGUUUCCUUUGACUAUGUUCUGGCCCACCAUCUAGUGGCAAAAAUUUUUUUUGGCCCGAUGCCAAACUUAAUUGCCGACCCCUGCUCUAAACAGAGAAACAAGGAAACUCUGCAAGAAGUGAAUUUGGGGAGUUUGAAAACUGCAUUGGAGACAACAACGACAAGCUUAGCCCCCCCAUCUUCAAAAUAUAUUCUGCACCAACUUCAAAAUCCUCUCAUCAUAGAUCCUCCAGAUCUGCGUGUUCCAUAUUGCCCGGAUCUACACUGACUUCAGAAUCUAAAGAUCCUCCCGUCUGCGUGUUCCAGAGAAUAAGGAUCGUCUGCACAGACAUCAGAACCGUCAAUGCUUCUUCCAGGCUGCUUCUUCUGCGUGUUCCAGGAAAAGGACCUUCUCUGUGCUCCAGGAGUUCAAUGUUCACAAGUACUUCGUGUUCAAAGCUGUGAAACGGAUUCCAAAUCCUUUCUUCCCACUGCAACGCUGCCCAGCUCAACAAGUGGAAGACGUCACCCUUGGAUUCAGCACGACCAGGCAGACUUAAAUAUCACUUACCAAACCUCUUUCCAGAGACCUUGGCAUUAGUGUAUAUUGUCGGUAUAUGAUUAUCUAAUUUGCAUUCGAUUUUGCAUAGCUGAUGUCAGUUAAUACACAAAUAAUCUCUCAGUUUAUUUGUUGAAUUCAGAAUAAGGUUUACCUUAUUUCUUCUAGAGAAACUACAAUUUAUUUUUCCAUAAGAUUAACUUGAAACUGCCAUAGUAACAUCCUACUCAUUCACUUGCAUUUAUCAAUCUUUUUGCACUUUAUCCAUUCAGUAGUAGUUAGUUACUCUUGUCUAUCCUUUUGUUAAUAAAAUCCAUUUAUUACACUUGUGUCUUCUUUGUGUUGAUAAUACAGUAAGCGUUCUGCGUUAGUUCAGGCAGGCCUCGUAGUCAAGCUCCGCUAUCAGCUGAUUCGCAAAUUCCAACCCCACCCUUAUCAGCUGAUCCGAUUUCUAUUAACUCAAUGGGCUCCAUGCACGGCGGCGCAUGACGUACUUCUGGUGAAAUCUUAGAAUGCUUGAAUACUUCCGCCGAUCGUAGAGUGCUAUGCUAUUAAAGGAACGCUAGUCACCAAAACAGCUAGAGCUUAUUUUGUUGAUGCUUCAUUUUAUAUAGAUAUAUACAUUUAUGUUUAUUUUAUAUAUAUUAUUUUAUAUCAUAAUGACAUCUAAACGUAUAAAAGUAUCUUUUCAAAGACGGGAGGACAGCACUUCUAGCUACCACUGCUGUGUGCCGCAGUGUACUGCAUCUGCUAAAUUUAACAGUUUUCACACAUUUCCCAAAGAUAAGGAAACACAGAAGAGGUGGAUAGUUAACAUACAACGCGACAGUUUUACAGUUACAAGCCAGACAAGAGUGUGUAGCCGACAUUUCCAAAGUGCAGACCUGAUCGAGCCUCAAACUCCAGCCGGACGCAGACGUCUGAAGAAUGGCGCUGUCCCGGUGCUUUUUCAGUGGAAUAACUUCACUCUUCCAGCCCCACGGACCGGAGUUUGGGAAAGGAUAACGCGACCAAACAGAGACACAUUGCACACUGAUGAUGCCCCCUCUAUAGAUGCGGAAUCUUACGACCACGACUACUGCUCCACUGCUAAGCCUGCUGCCUUGGAUUUGUCCCUGGAGCACACUGAAGAUCUACGUGCGGAAAUAAAGCUCCGAAAACAAAUAGAGGAGAUAACCCUCAACAGCAAGUUCUGUUUGGAGCGGUUUGUGGCCUCCGAUGAUGACAUUCGGUUUUACACAAGGUUUGCGACUCACGCCCACUUGAUGGCCUUUUGGAGGCAGAUAGAAUCAGCAACAGGCAAGAUUGUACGGGUGACAAGAGCUCAAACUGCAGCUGUAUCAGAUGAAGUUCCUCACACUGCCGAUGCAACAUCACUUCAACCCAUUGAUUAAUUUUUCCUGUUUAUGACAUACCUGUCACUGGGUCUGAUGCAGAAGGAUCUGGCACACAGAUUCAGAAUCCACCAGUCAACUGUAAGCCGCAUCAUCAACACAUGGGCUAACUUCCUCUAUGCUGUACUCGGAGCUGUGGGCAUUUGGCUGGAUGAGGAGACUGUCAAAGCUCACAUGCCAGAUGUUUUUCAGGAUUACUCUGACACACAUGUGAUUUUGGACUGUACUGAACUGCGGUGCCAAACACCAAACUCUCUUCUCCUCCAGAGCGAGGUAUUCUCGACCUACAAGUCACCCACAAGUGCCCCUCACGGUGCUCUUACUUUUGUGUCAUCCCUCUAUGAGGGCGCCAUCAGUGAUAAAGAAAUUCUUAAGCAGUCGGGUAUCGUGUCUCUCCUAAAAUCAACAAUGGCUAUAAUGGUCGAUAAAGGUUUCCUAGUGGAAGACUUCAUCCCCUGCAAAGUACACAUACCUACGUUCUUGUCAAAGAGAGCACAACUGUCUGGGCCAGAGGUCAGGAAAACCCAGUCGAUAGCAAGACUGAGAGUCCACGUUGAGAGAUUCAUUCGAAGGGUGAAAGAGCAUAAGAUAUUCAACACCAUGAUCCCUCUUUCACUCACAGGCAGCAUUAACCAACUUUAUACAGUAGCCUGUCUCUUGGUUAACUACCAAAUUGGGCUCUUAGUUAAAGGGUGGGCCAGGGAUUGCUAAUGCUGUAGAAGCAGAAUCAGACAGGCAGAAAUGUCGCUAUGCUUAGUUGCACUUCCGUUCUUCAUUGGCAUGCAUCAGUGGA
Molecule: long non-coding RNA, 4734 nt
Organism: Ctenopharyngodon idella (grass carp)
Lineage: Eukaryota; Metazoa; Chordata; Actinopteri; Cypriniformes; Xenocyprididae
Exons: 3
Source: RefSeq, a predicted model, not a curated record